UUUAUUUGCAUGCAAAUGAUUUCACUAAUAUAAAUCUGUGGUAAUAAUUUAAUUAUAUGAUAAGAUAGAGAAAUGUGGUCAAAUAUAUUAGAGUUAUUAUAUUAUGUGUGAGUAUAUAUGUAAAUAUAUUUGUGUGAAGAGUAUGUAUGUGUAGUGUAUAUGUAUGUA
This is a long non-coding RNA of Sander lucioperca (pikeperch), 168 nucleotides long. RefSeq lists it as uncharacterized. The transcript is spliced from 3 exons. Lineage: Eukaryota; Metazoa; Chordata; Actinopteri; Perciformes; Percidae. The record is from RefSeq and is a predicted model, not a curated record.